This 639-nucleotide long non-coding RNA is filed under the name Monodelphis domestica (gray short-tailed opossum). RNAcentral's name for it is "lncRNA (ENSMODG00000047339.1)". Lineage: Eukaryota; Metazoa; Chordata; Mammalia; Didelphimorphia; Didelphidae. The record is from RNAcentral.
GUUCUGAUGCUACUGACAAUCAAGCUAUAAGAAGAGCAUUGAUUUAGCCAGCCAUAGUUCACUUGAAACUUCUGAGAAUUUCAGGUCCUAGGUCAGCCCUCUAGGGUCAAGCAACUCCUUCCUCCACAUGGCAGUCCAUUAAAUACUUGAGGAAAGUAUGUGGUCCCUUCUCUUCUUCAGCCUAAAUGUCCCCAGGUGCCUGAACAUGGAUUGGUGUAGCAAGAGAGCUAAAAAUCUCACCAUCAGAAAAUGUGGAUUGGAAUUCCAGUACAGAACAAGCUGGGAAUUCGGACACACAGAAAGAUUUCUGGACCUGAUUUUUUUUACUCAGAAGGAAAGAAUACAAGGGGAUCCAUCCCAAGGUAUAUAAGCAAAAGCAAAAUAAGUUUCUUGGGCAUUUAUUGAGUGCCUACUGUGUGCAGGACACUAUACUACACCCAUCAGUACAGAAAACUAGAGGAAACCUCAGGGAUCCUAUACGGGUGAGUGUGUGUGUUUUGUAUGCAAAAAUUAAAUCCCUCUCCCAGGUAACAGUCCUUCAAAUACAGGAACACAGUUAAGCACUGCAUUAAAGGACAUUAUAUAAACAGUUUCAUAACCUAAGAAAUCUGAGCAGUACUAGUAACUGGUUAUGUAAAA